UACUGGAUUACUUUCCCUGCCUAUUUAACAUUCGAGUUCCUGGUUUAUCAGGGGAAGUAAUGGAAUUGGAAGGAGAGAACUCGCUAAGAGUGAAUGACUUACUUUACAUUUAAUACUUUUGAUUGCGCGAGGUCACCAAAUCUUAUCUCCACCCCUCGCUUCGGUGCUGGUUUUGGUAACUUAGAGAUAGAACGUGGACAGUGGCGACUAGAAGAUCUUCAAGCUGUAUAUUACAAAACAGGUCUACGGUUAACGUUUCCCGACAUCAAUGAUGACGUCAUCACAGCGGCAGAGAACUCCGAAAUACGUAUACGCUUUGGAGUUGCCGACCUUGGAGGCGUUACCGAUCUUUUUUUCAUCGGCUUGGACAUUAGUAACGAUUCGAGUGGGGCUACAAAGGCUCAAUUUUUGUGUGUAAUAACUUACAACACAAGUGCCAUGUCAUUUCUAGUGGAUGAGAAGAUGGACUGUUUUGUUUCACCUGGAGCCGACACUGUGGUGUUUUUCAAAACCGUGUCUCGUCAGGAUGACAAAGCCACGUUGAGGUGGACAGUGACACCACAUGGAGUUGAGAAACGCUUACGGCUUAACGUCACCUAUCCUCCCAUCAUAACCAGCCUCACUUUUACUGAUGAACCGAAAGUGACAACGAAAAUAGUUCAGAAGGGCGAGAUGGUACAGCUGACCUGUUCAUGGGUUCACGGCAACCCGCCCACAGCAGUCCGUCUUCUACACAGCAAGAGACAGCAGAUGAUGACAGAAAUCUCCGACAGCAGCAAGAACAACCUGACCUAUGAACUGAACCCAGGUCACCUGCGACCACAUGGGUGUGUUCACGUGUCAGGCGGCAGGAGCAGAGGUCAACAGAAGUGUGACACUCUUGGUUCAGUGCUCACCCCAAUUGCUAGCUCCAGAUAAGAUCGUAACGGUCACUGGCACACGAGGACAAUCAGUGACCUUGAGUUACAACUUCCUGUCACACACAACCAACAUCACACAGUGUCGUCUUCGUAAACUUCCAUCAAGCGCAAGCCAUAACCUCGAAGUGCUUCGUCUAACGGCUACCUUUAACUGUUGGCUGACAGGACGGCCUCCUGACCUCAACCUGACCGUUGUCAUGCAGGACGUCAGUGACACUGACCAGGGAAUGUGGCAACUAGAAGUGACCAAUGGCUGGGGAACAAACUCUGUUAACUUCUCUCUCUUGUUGAGCAACGGUAUGCUGAGAAAAGCAGCUCUUUCUUUUUGUUAUAGAAAUUAUUCUUGUCGAUGCCCGUGAAUACAAUCUCUGUAAGACAGUAACAAAACUGAACCAAAAAUAACAGGGACUAGAAACAUCAUGAGACACUUUGUCCCAAACAAAUUUUCAGUCCACGUUAAGUGAUAAAGCAGAUAUAAGUGCAAACAAGUAAUGCACGAAAGAGGACAGGGAAUGGAAGAAGCAUCAGAAGAAGACUUGUCGGUUACCCAGAUAACAUCAAAAAUUAACUCUGCAGCCCAUCUUCUAGCUUCAUCAUUCUACUGCAAGUUUGUUUCAAUAGUAUUACUAGCAAUGGUGGUUGUAGAGGCAAAAAAUAGAAGUAAUUAAUAAUUACAAGAGGGGGAUAACUAAAAUAAUGACUUUGUAGGAAGGUAAGGGGAGAUUAGCCAACAAGAAAUGAAAAGUAUACAUGGGUAUAUGAGUCAGUAAGACUGAUAGGUAUGUAUAUGAUAUGAGUGUAGAUGUCAAAGGUAUGAGAGAAUUCUUGAUUUUGCAUAUUUUACAUUGUAUUUAACUGUUAAAUAUUGCUAUACCAAUCCAUAAACAUUCAGCUUACUCUCCUUUACACGAGAGCGCGCGCGCGCACACACACACACACAGACAUGUAGGCACGCACAUCUGCAGGUAACAUAAUAACAAACGCACUUACCUUUUCGAAAUCACUUUGAGUGUCACAUAUAAUUAAUUAAACAAAAAUCAUCUAUAUGCUCACAUCCGGACCUGGUCAACAUACGCAGAUUACACUGUGACAAAAUAUGACAUACUCGCAUGCCACGCAGAUACCUAGAAAAAACAUAACAUCAGUAAAAGAGUUCACACCUGUACUUAAGUGUGUGGGGGGAGUGGGGUGGGGGUGUUGCAUGUAGUGUGAAUAUUUCCCUGCGCCUCGCUUUCGUGCCGGAUGAGCCUCUUGAGAGUGGUUUGCUGCAAAUUACCAAUCGCCUUCAUCGUCGGUCAAUAUUCACUCGACAAACAGCGGAUACCGCGGUAAAAAUAAGGGAUUUUACUGUCACCGCUGAAAAUACCUAUCACCUACUUUCCAGUCCCUUCACGAAUCCACGAUUGCUUCUUCCCCCCCCCCCCUUCCUUUGGACAGCAGACACCGUGACAAUGACAAGGGAAGCAACCACAAACUUUAAUUCUUUAAUUCCGUGGCAGUAGCUUUAUCGAUGGUCUUAUUGUGCUAUUCGCGUAGUUUAUAGACUUUUUUAACAACACAGGGGUGAAAACAACAUUCAACUCCAAGAUCAAACGUAUGUACAUUUAUUGUAUACUUUAUAUAAUUUGAUUAUUUUAGCCAUUUUAGCCUUAGAUAUCUAAAUAACUUACUGACUUCUUAAUUUUCGAACGCUUUUUUUACUACUGUGUCCUCUUUUUCUUCUUGCUUUCCUAAAUGUUCUUUCAUCUUUUUAUGCUGAAUUAAAUCAUGUCAUGUUCUGUUGAUGUUGUAUGUAAUGUUAUAAUGUUACCAUUGGCAUACUCAAUAAUUUUCUGAAAAAUUAACAAAGCUUGUAUUUUGUAUAAAUUGAAUCUAGAGCACUGUACAUAACACUGUAAUUAAAACAUCGUUAGGAAAAAAAUAUUACCGCUAUCAAUAUCAUCAGUUCCUGUUUCAGUCUUGGACUUACUGGAUUACUCCCCCUGCCUAUCUAACGUUCGCGUACCUGAUUUAUCAAGGGAGGACAAUCGCGUCAUCACUGCUUUCAAUUUAGAAAAAAUGAAAGUGAGAGAGAGAGCCAGCGAGACCUCCUCAGACACAGGAGAUGGGGUGAUGACGGAUGUAAGGCAAAGAAAAAUAUACAGAUAUAACAUGAACCAGAUUAUCGUUAGUAUUGCUUUAAACAGACAGACAGCCAAAAGAAUAUAAAACGCGGAGAGGUCUAAGAAAUGUAUAGCUUAAAACUCUCUCCGCGUUGUUCGCGGUAGAGAGAUGAUGUCCGACUAGGGUAGAGUCGUACAGCAACACAUCGCGCUAUGAAUGCAAAAGGGAGAAUGGGAGAAAACUCCUGGUACAUUCAGCAGAUUUGUUCUAGCAUGGAUUACUUCCCUUCAACUGCUAGAGGAAGAAAGGGGAAGGGGGGUUGUGAUACUUGAAAGUAGGAAUGUGUUAGUUGACCAAGCUAGGAAGUUAAUCCACGGUAAAUCAACCAACAUUUCUUUUUUUCGUUAUUUAUUCUAAUGUAUGCCCCCGAACACUGCAGCUUACACUGUACAAAAAAGAAGGCAACCCUUUCCCUAGCACAUACUGCGCCAAGCAAGAUUAUAAAUCUGUUUAAUCUGUCUCUUCUUAGCAAUAUACAAAUGUCUUGUUCUGGAUUUUAAUGUACACUGUAACUUACAACAGUUUCAUCAAUCAAAUGCAACAGGUCUUUUAUUUAGACAGGGACAAAGUAACAUCACGCAUCUGUGUACACAAAAACUUAUUUAAAUUUAAAAAGAAUGUUUACAGAAUAAGAGCCAUUUACUGACCCUAUGAUAUCACUUUUACACUAGACCACCCCUCACCAAAUCAAAUUUGUGCCACCUUUACCUGUUAGAAGCAGGGGUUGUAUAGCUGGAUAAAUAAACAUUAUAAACUAAGUACCAUUUGUUGUCAUCAACCAGAUCAUCCCUAUGUAUUUUAGUGACAAUAUCUAUAUUUCUCAUAUCUCUGAGCUCAUUAUUUGAUUCUUGAAAUUUCAUGACCCCUAUCAAGAAAAAAAAAUCUCUAGAUGACAGCACCUUCGCUCAUUUUCGACCCUUCUCUAUCCAACAUUCAGAUACUGCAUACCACUUCCAAGUCUAAACCAGUCUCUCUUCCAAUCUGUGGAACCAGCUCCAACAACCACCCCUCAUUUCUUUUCUUCUAUCAUUGCAGUUCACAUAUAAAAGCGUUCAUUAAUAUCAUGCAGGAAAUUGAAAGAAAUAGCUUGCCUGCACUCCAGCCUCUUUUCUGGUACGUGUUAGAAAUUUGGAAUGGACUAACACUGUCAAGUCAGUAGGUCUUGGUGCUUGCUGUGCAUAGCCACCAUCUGGUUACAUAUUAUCCCAGAAAGGCUUACGUACCCUGUUCUUAAAUAUGAGAAUGGAUGUUUAUUUCCAUGAUGAUUUGAAGUCCAGAUGUUGAGUGAAUUUGUGAUUUUCAAGUUUCAACUGACGUUUUUAGUUUAGUGAUCUCAGUGUUUUCUGGCAUAAUUAGACCAAGGCAGACAAUUACUGAGUUGCUAACACCUUCUAAUGCAAAAAUUAAAAUAACAAAGCCAGUGGCGUUUUUAGAAUUUUAUUUCAAUAUUUAUAAGCUGAGUACAACUAAGUUUCCAUAAAACUGCUUUUCAGAUUGGACAAAAUAGUUUUUAACUCAGUUAACAUUUAAAGCAAGAGUCAAUUUUUUCAAUGUCUGCAUUACUAUUCCAAAUAUGUUUCCUUUGUUUAAAAUGAGUAGCAUAUACUCUCUUCAAGCUCUACAGGGUGUGGUCUGCAGAUGUGUGUGGUAAGAAUAUGAACAUGUUGCAUGCCUCUGUGUCUCCCUAGGUAGUGUACGCGCGAUGCAUGUGUGUGCCUAUGAAUGCAUCACUGGUGAAGGAAUGUGUGUCCGAUACUAGAAACCAAAGCUUUCACA
RNAcentral lists this unclassified non-coding RNA (4859 nucleotides) under Pomacea canaliculata. Its description in RNAcentral is "uncharacterized LOC112569013, transcript variant X4". Lineage: Eukaryota; Metazoa; Mollusca; Gastropoda; Architaenioglossa; Ampullariidae. The record is from RNAcentral.